Molecule: ribosomal RNA, 425 nt
Filed under: Micrococcus sp. oral taxon F54
Lineage: Bacteria; Bacillati; Actinomycetota; Actinomycetes; Micrococcales; Micrococcaceae
Description: bacterial SSU rRNA
Rfam family: Bacterial small subunit ribosomal RNA
Source: RNAcentral
GAUGAACGCUGGCGGCGUGCUUAACACAUGCAAGUCGAACGAUAAAGCCCAGCUUGCUGGGUGGAUUAGUGGCGAACGGGUGAGUAACACGUGAGUAACCUGCCCUUGACUCUGGGAUAAGCCCGGGAAACUGGGUCUAAUACCGGAUAGGAGCGCCUGUCGCAUGACGGGUGUUGGAAAGAUUUUUCGGUCAUGGAUGGACUCGCGGCCUAUCAGCUUGUUGGUGAGGUAAUGGCUCACCAAGGCGACGACGGGUAGCCGGCCUGAGAGGGUGACCGGCCACACUGGGACUGAGACACGGCCCAGACUCCUACGGGAGGCAGCAGUGGGGAAUAUUGCACAAUGGGCGGAAGCCUGAUGCAGCGACGCCGCGUGAAGGAUGACGGCCUUCGGGUUGUAAACCUCUUUCAGUAGGGAAGAAGCGA